AAGUUCAUAUAGUUGCCAAUAUAAAUUCGGGAGAUAUGGUCCGGACGUUUCUACCGCAGUGCCGUAAAAACUGCGACUAUUGGGAGA
RNAcentral lists this non-coding RNA (87 nucleotides) under bovine gut metagenome. RNAcentral describes it as "Purine riboswitch". The stretch from base 16 to 83 matches the Rfam family "Purine riboswitch aptamer", at positions 20 to 86 of the family's 102-position model. From Rfam's summary of the family: Riboswitches are metabolite binding domains within certain messenger RNAs that serve as precision sensors for their corresponding targets. The record is from RNAcentral.